This 27-nucleotide small RNA is filed under the name Bombyx mori (domestic silkworm). RNAcentral describes it as "ovarian small RNA-34872". Lineage: Eukaryota; Metazoa; Arthropoda; Insecta; Lepidoptera; Bombycidae. The record is from RNAcentral.
UGGCGCAAGAGAAUGGGCCGUCUCUCG